This 253-nucleotide ribosomal RNA is filed under the name uncultured bacterium. RNAcentral's name for it is "partial 16S ribosomal RNA". It matches the Rfam family "Bacterial small subunit ribosomal RNA", at positions 524 to 776 of the family's 1533-position model. The record is from RNAcentral.
UACGGAGGGGGCGAGCGUUAUUCGGAAUUAUUGGGCGUAAAGGGCGCGUAGGCGGCUCUAUAAGUCAAAGGUGAAAUCCCUCGGCUCAACUGAGGAACUGCCUUUGAAACUGUUGGGUUUGAGGCCGGGAGAGGGUAGUGGAAUUCCCAGUGUAGCGGUGAAAUGCGUAGAUACUGGGAGGAACACCAGUGGCGAAGGCGGCUACCUGGACCGGUUCUGACGCUGAGGCGCGAAAGCGUGGGUAGCAAACAGG